UCUCUCUCUCUCUCUCUCUCUCUCUCUCUCUCUCUCUCCCCUGACCUAAACUGACAUACAGGAAUAUACUCGGUGCAAGUGCAUCGCAAUGACCAGAAGGUUACCGUGUGGGGCAUCUGCAGCAAAGACGCGGUGCUCGCCGCCGUGAAGAAGAAGAGGAGAGGAGCCCAUUUCUGGGAUCAGGAGGAGGACGACGCCGGGAAGGAAGGAGGGGCCCCGGCCGCGGAGGAGACGGUAGAGCAGGAGAGCACCACUGACGAGCACACAUCUCCCCCCAAGGCCGGAGGAAAAAGCAUCCUCCUAUGGGCUUUCCAGAUCCGAAAGACUUGGAAGCGGCUGUUCCCCUGCCGCCGCCGUCGAACCACCGCUAGCGCCGUCGCAUUACACCCCGAUGCAUGCGAUCACCAAUAAAGCCAAAGACAUGACUUCCCGUCGUGUGAUCAUCUGGGUCGGGACUGUCGAUGAAAUAACCCUUCUGGCCUUAUUUUACGAGAAUUUCUGAUUGAAGAAGGGUUGCAUCUAUGAAAGUAUUUAUAUCCACUAAGAGGUGCAUAAUUAUGCCGCGCAUAUUCACCUUACUCACUGCGCAACUCGCUAGCCGUUCAAGCAAAGUUCUACAGAAAUAAGAAGCUAGUGUGAGUAUCCACAGAUGAAGAUCAGGCCGCAAGGAAGUGAGGGAGUAUCCACAGACGCAGCGAUUCCUGAUGAAUCAGAUCAGAACCCCAAAGGAGAAGCCAAACGGGUUCUCCGCGCAUACCUGCCCGUGCGUUUGGCCCAGUAACGAGCGGGAGACUGCGAUUCACACAACUCAAUAGGAAAGAGGACUCUCUCGUCGGCUUCGGUACCUUCUAACGUGGCAAAAGAUGACGAGGUGGCACUUACGAGGAAUGGGUGUGAAAAGUCCAUUGCCAUCAUAACGCAGGCCCCAAAGAGUCAACUUACUCGGCACGCCACUAGAUUAGUCGCCCACGGGACUCAUCCUCUCUAGGGGCAGCGCUACCCUCCUCUGGGCGACAACAGUAACUAAUGGUGACCACGACUGCUCUCUUCCUAAGCUGCUGCAACUCAGAACGGCUGUCUCUACGUUUGUCCCAGUAAAGAAAACCAUAGAGAGAGGAGAGAGAGAGAGAGGUCCAGUCCCAUCUGUCGCCGCCACGGUAGGCGAAGACAUCAGGUCCCCGUAGAACCCUGGGCGGCAGGCCCGCCAACUGGGAGUCGACUGGAGAAAACGUGUUCCCUUCUGGUGCAACGGGCCGGCGACCCUGGGCGGCCAGAGGAAGCUCUGACCCUCCUGGCGAGGAGUGGAAUCAGCGGCAUUAAUGAAUUGGACUGGAGGAGACGGAGACGGAGACGAAGAGAGAGGGGAGGCACUGUUCCCGUAGGAGCUGACAGGCUCGCAAGCCGUGCAGAGACGGCAUCUGCCAUUUCUUAUAGCUUCGGACCGUCCAUGGUCCCAUGCAUGAUGAAAGUCGUGCCCAUCUAUGUCGUUCUUCAGACCAGCAACCGGUCUCCCCUUAUUGUAGAUUCCCCUUCCCAGAGCGUCUCUCGGAGACCUCCCAUACCUCUACACGUCAGCGUGAUUCAUCUGUCUCUGUCUGUCUCUCUCCCCUCCCCUCUCCAC
Molecule: long non-coding RNA, 1621 nt
Filed under: Spirodela polyrhiza (greater duckweed)
Lineage: Eukaryota; Viridiplantae; Streptophyta; Magnoliopsida; Alismatales; Araceae
Description: long non-coding RNA (SPOL_LNC000558)
Source: RNAcentral